This 465-nucleotide ribosomal RNA is filed under the name Vreelandella stevensii. RNAcentral describes it as "partial 16S ribosomal RNA". It matches the Rfam family "Bacterial small subunit ribosomal RNA", at positions 338 to 795 of the family's 1533-position model. The record is from RNAcentral. Lineage: Bacteria; Pseudomonadati; Pseudomonadota; Gammaproteobacteria; Oceanospirillales; Halomonadaceae.
CCUACGGGUGGCUGCAGUGGGGAAUAUUGGACAAUGGGCGAAAGCCUGAUCCAGCCAUGCCGCGUGUGUGAAGAAGGCCUUCGGGUUGUAAAGCACUUUCAGUGGGGAAGAAAGCCUUGGGGCUAAUACCCUCGAGGAAGGACAUCACCCACAGAAGAAGCACCGGCUAACUCCGUGCCAGCAGCCGCGGUAAUACGGAGGGUGCGAGCGUUAAUCGGAAUUACUGGGCGUAAAGCGCGCGUAGGCGGCCUGAUAAGCCGGUUGUGAAAGCCCCGGGCUCAACCUGGGAACGGCAUCCGGAACUGUCAGGCUAGAGUGCAGGAGAGGAAGGUAGAAUUCCCGGUGUAGCGGUGAAAUGCGUAGAGAUCGGGAGGAAUACCAGUGGCGAAGGCGGCCUUCUGGACUGACACUGACGCUGAGGUGCGAAAGCGUGGGUAGCAAACAGGAUUAGAUACCCGAGUAGUC